UACGGAGGGGGCUAGCGUUGUUCGGAAUUACUGGGCGUAAAGCGCACGUAGGCGGCUUUGUAAGUUAGAGGUGAAAGCCCGGGGCUCAACUCCGGAAUUGCCUUUAAGACUGCAUCGCUAGAAUUGUGGAGAGGUAAGUGGAAUUCCGAGUGUAGAGGUGAAAUUCGUAGAUAUUCGGAAGAACACCAGUGGCGAAGGCGGCUUACUGGUCCGGAACUGACGCUGAGGUGCGAAAGCGUGGGGAGCAAACAGGAUUGAGAAACCCCUG
RNAcentral lists this ribosomal RNA (268 nucleotides) under uncultured bacterium. RNAcentral's name for it is "partial 16S ribosomal RNA". It matches the Rfam family "Bacterial small subunit ribosomal RNA", at positions 524 to 789 of the family's 1533-position model. The record is from RNAcentral.